RNAcentral lists this ribosomal RNA (464 nucleotides) under uncultured bacterium. Its description in RNAcentral is "partial 16S ribosomal RNA". It matches the Rfam family "Bacterial small subunit ribosomal RNA", at positions 29 to 507 of the family's 1533-position model. The record is from RNAcentral.
ACGAACGCUGGCGGCGUGCUUAACACAUGCAAGUCGUACGGUAAGGCCCUUUCGGGGGUACACGAGUGGCGAACGGGUGAGUAACACGUGAGUAACCUGCCCACAACUUUGGGAUAACGCUAGGAAACUGGUGCUAAUACUGGAUAUGUGCUCCUGCUGCAUGGUGGGGGUUGGAAAGCUCCGGCGGUUGUGGAUGGACUCGCGGCCUAUCAGCUUGUUGGUGGGGUAGUGGCCUACCAAGGCGGCGACGGGUAGCCGGCCUGAGAGGGUGACCGGCCACAUUGGGACUGAGAUACGGCCCAGACUCCUACGGGAGGCAGCAGUGGGGAAUAUUGCACAAUGGGCGCAAGCCUGUUGCAGCAACGCCGCGUGCGGGAUGACGGCCUUCGGGUUGUAAACCGCUUUCAGCAGGGACGAAGCUUUUUGUGACGGUACCUGCAGAAGAAGCACCGGCUAACUACGUG